GAAACCAACUGUGACUCCAGCCCGGAAUUGUAUACAUAAGUAGCUCAAUAGAAAAGGGAGACCUGCGUGGGAAAGAGGCUCACACUGGAGAUGGGGACGGGGGGUGGGGAGGAGAGUAGCAUGUUGCCAUUGUGUGCAAGAAAAAGACAGGUUCUCAGCUAAGUGGCCCUGCGUGCACCUGCCCCUUGGCAGCUCCAAACCACCAGUGCAGAUUCAACUCAGGCUGCAUGGCCCAGCACACCAGCAGGGCAAGCCAGCUGCGUGCGGGCCCAUCCAGAUCAUUCUCUGUGUCUCCAGCCCGAAGAAGACAGCGAGGAGGGAGGGGGACAUGUCCACCCUCCUGGGGAAACAAUGGCCGCUUGCUCACCCCCAAAAACUCACAGUGGCCUGCACCCAGGUCCAUGCACCAGGCACACCCCCCAUCACGCCAUGCUGCCUUGCAAAGCCCGUUCCAGUUAUGUCCCCUCUGACAGCCAAGUCACAAAUGCACCAUUCUGGAGAGGAAAGGAGGGGACAUGGGGUGGGAUCAGCCGGGAGGUCCAGGGGCAUUGCCAUUUUUCUCCUGCCCCUGAGAGCAAGAUCAAAAAGGAAAACUGUGCCCCCUGGUAUUUUUGGGGGGAGGGAUGGCACUGCAAUAAAUCAGUAUCCCUGCUUCUCUGGCUCAGAGAAGCAGGCACAGCCAGCCUCGUGCGGCUCUGAUCUCUGCGGUCGCUGCCUUCCUGCUGUUCCUGUCUGUUCUUGUCCCUUCCCCCAGCUACCGUCCCAUCUCCUGACUUCCUUUCUCCUCUCUCUCCCUGCCCCCUCCCUCUGCUUCUGUCUGUCUCUUUCUCCCCCUUCCUCUUUCUCCUCUCUCUCCCUCCCCCUCCAACCCUGUUCUUUUUCCAUUCCUCUCUCUCUUUGUCUCUCAUUCUCUGCCGACUUUCCCCCCUCCCUUUCCCUCUCCCUCUCUCUCUCUCCCUGUCUCUCUGAUGUCAUCCACUCUUAUGAGCAGUGCAGUUCUCUCCUGCCCACCCUGAGGCCCUGGCCACAGGAUCACAAAGCCCCCUCCCCAAGGAAGGACCCGGGUGGGCUGCCUGGGCUCCUCAGCCAUCAGAGAGAGGCUGGAGGGGGCGGGGCUGGGGUGGGUGGGAGACACCCACAGACACGCAGGGACCACUGCCCUCCCUUUUCUCACUGGGAGCAGAAAGCCUGGAGCAGCCUACAGCACC
RNAcentral lists this long non-coding RNA (1208 nucleotides) under Oryctolagus cuniculus (rabbit). RNAcentral's name for it is "lncRNA (ENSOCUG00000030962.1)". Lineage: Eukaryota; Metazoa; Chordata; Mammalia; Lagomorpha; Leporidae. The record is from RNAcentral.